RNAcentral lists this ribosomal RNA (483 nucleotides) under uncultured bacterium. RNAcentral describes it as "partial 16S ribosomal RNA". It matches the Rfam family "Bacterial small subunit ribosomal RNA", at positions 29 to 507 of the family's 1533-position model. The record is from RNAcentral.
AUUGAACGCUGGCGGCAUGCUUUACACAUGCAAGUCGAACGGCAGCGCGGGCUUCGGCCUGGCGGCGAGUGGCGAACGGGUGAGUAAUGCAUCGGAACGUGCCCAGUAGUGGGGGAUAGCCCGGCGAAAGCCGGAUUAAUACCGCAUACGACCUGAGGGUGAAAGCGGGGACCGAAAGGCCUCGCGCUAUUGGAGCGGCCGAUGUCGGAUUAGCUAGUUGGUGGGGUAAAGGCUUACCAAGGCGACGAUCCGUAGCUGGUCUGAGAGGACGACCAGCCACACUGGGACUGAGACACGGCCCAGACUCCUACGGGAGGCAGCAGUGGGGAAUUUUGGACAAUGGGGGCAACCCUGAUCCAGCCAUGCCGCAUGCGGGAAGAAGGCCUUCGGGUUGUAAACCGCUUUUGUUCGGGAAGAAAUCCUCUGGGCUAAUACCCCGGGGGGAUGACGGUACCGGAAGAAUAAGCACCGGCUAACUACGUG